UACGGAAGGCAGCAGUGGGGAAUAUUGCACAAUGGGCGCAAGCCUGAUGCAGCCAUGCCGCGUGUAUGAAGAAGGCCUUCGGGUUGUAAAGUACUUUCAGUCGUGAGGAAGGUGUUAAGGUUAAUAACCUUAGCAAUUGACGUUAGCGACAGAAGAAGCACCGGCUAACUCCGUGCCAGCAGCCGCGGUAAUACGGAGGGUGCGAGCGUUAAUCGGAAUUACUGGGCGUAAAGGGCGCGCAGGCGGUUAAUUAAGUUGGAUGUGAAAUCCCCGGGCUUAACCUGGGAAUGGCAUUCAAGACUGGUUAGCUAGAGUCUUGUAGAGGGGGUAGAAUUCCAUGUGUAGCGGUGAAAUGCGUAGAGAUGUGGAGGAAUACCGGUGGCGAAGGCGGCCCCUGGGACAAAGGACUGACGCUCGAUGUGCGAAAGCGUGGGGAGCAAACGAGGGAUUAGAUACC
Molecule: ribosomal RNA, 457 nt
Filed under: uncultured bacterium
Lineage: Bacteria
Description: bacterial SSU rRNA
Rfam family: Bacterial small subunit ribosomal RNA
Source: RNAcentral